AAAAAGCGACAAGUAAGCAUCUAUACAAUGCGAAAGCUAUGGUUGAGUUCAUCAUACCUCUUAGACCACAACAAACCCAGCAUCUUGUGCCGUUGCUGUUGAAGACUUGGUUUUUUUGGGGCUAGCCUAUGGUAAGCGAGAGCGAAUUGGUGUUUGAGGCUUGUAAACAAAAAGUGGUCUUGCUUAUCCGAAGAUUACGAACUCUUAUAGAUUGUUUAGAAGUAGAGCCAGUACCUAAGGGUGAAAUGGUGCGUAGUGUUGAACUUGGUAAGCCUUAUAGGUUCUAAAUAAUAUGUGUUAUUUAGAGGGCCGUUCGCAAGAUGGGCUAUCACCUAGAAGGUAGAAGAGAAAGCAAAAAGCGAAUGCAGUGCUGUAAUGGUGCUGAUAAAUACAAUUGUAUUGACCUGAAAGGGUGCUGACUUGCUUUUGGUGUAAAAAAUAAAUAUUAAAAUAAUAGUUUAAAAAUGAAAAGUAUUACUUAUAAUCUAGUGCUAAAUAAGCACAUAAAGCCAAUGAAUUCAGAGCAGCUUGGCUAUUUUUUAGCUGGGCUAAUCGAUGCCGACGGACAUAUUGCUGUAACCGGGCAAAGUAUAACAAUAAACACUCACAGCAGGGAUUUAUGUGUUGCUUACUACAUUAAGCAAGCUGUCAGCGGAAAUAUAUAUAAGUAUAAAAAGGUCAACGCUUGUAGAUAUACUUGCACAAAAAACCGCGGUUUAGCUGGUUUAUCAAAGUUAAUAUUAAACAAGCUAAGAUUACCUCAAAAAAUAAAUCAGUUUAAUAGCCGACUAGCGUCCCGUCUAAAUUUAAAACUUUGUACACCCAGUGUUACAGGUAUAGAACAAAACCAUUGGUUAGCCGGCUUUGUACAAGGGGAUGGAAGUUUUCAAAUAAAAAUAAGAAUGCCCCGUAAACCCGGAUGGAGUAAUCAAGUUGAAAUAGUACCCCUUGCCUUUGGCUUCGGGCAAAGGUUCAGAUUGAAUUAAAACAUGAAGGCCUGCUUAGGCAAAUUAAAGAAACUUUUGGUGGUAGCGUGGGGUAUCGUAAAAGUAGAAAUACCUACUAUUAUAGUAGCGUUAAUUUACAAAAUGCUACUAAACUUGUGAAGUAUUUUAAUAAAUACCAAGUAAUGGGACCUAGCUACAGGUUAUUUUUAUGUUGGAGAAGAGCUUUAGAUAUAGUGCUAGCUAAACAACACCUUACUUCUGCCGGAUUUGACGAAAUCAAAUGUUUAAAAGCAUACAUGGCUGAAUUAAGGCAGAGGAAUUGAUAUAUUUUUUU
RNAcentral lists this ribosomal RNA (1281 nucleotides) under Ulva meridionalis. RNAcentral describes it as "large subunit ribosomal RNA". The record is from RNAcentral. Lineage: Eukaryota; Viridiplantae; Chlorophyta; Ulvophyceae; Ulvales; Ulvaceae.